RNAcentral lists this ribosomal RNA (253 nucleotides) under uncultured bacterium. RNAcentral's name for it is "partial 16S ribosomal RNA". It matches the Rfam family "Bacterial small subunit ribosomal RNA", at positions 524 to 776 of the family's 1533-position model. The record is from RNAcentral.
UACGUAGGCAGCGAGCGUUGUUCGGAGUUACUGGGCGUAAAGGGUGUGUAGGCGGUUUUCUAAGUUUGGUGUGAAAUCUCCCGGCUUAACCGGGAGGGUGCGCCGAAAACUGGGAGACUAGAGUGCGGGAUGGGAGAGUAGAAUUCCUGGUGUAGCGGUGAAAUGCGUAGAUAUCAGGAGGAACACCGAUGGCGAAGGCAGGUCUCUGGGCCACUACUGACGCUGAGAAGCGAAAGCAUGGGGAGCGAACAGG